GACGAACGCUGGCGGCGUGCUUAACACAUGCAAGUCGAACGGAAAGGCCCUGCUUUUGUGGGGUGCUCGAGUGGCGAACGGGUGAGUAACACGUGAGUAACCUGCCCUUGACUUUGUGAUAACUUCAGGAAACUGGGGCUAAUACCGGAUAGGAGCUCCUGCUGCAUGGUGGGGGUUGGAAAGUUUCGGCGGUUGGGGAUGGACUCGCGGCUUAUCAGCUUGUUGGUGGGGUAGUGGCUUACCAAGGCUUUGACGGGUAGCCGGCCUGAGAGGGUGACCGGCCACAAUAGGACUGAGAGACGGCCCAGACUCCUACGGGAGGCAGCAGUGGGGAAUAUUGCACAAUGGGCGGAAGCCUGAUGCAGCAACGCCGCGUGCGGGAUGACGGCCUUCGGGUUGUAAACCGCUUUCGACUGUGACGAAGCGUGAGUGACGGUAAUGGGUAAAGAAGCACCGGCUAACUACGUG
RNAcentral lists this ribosomal RNA (468 nucleotides) under uncultured bacterium. RNAcentral describes it as "partial 16S ribosomal RNA". It matches the Rfam family "Bacterial small subunit ribosomal RNA", at positions 28 to 507 of the family's 1533-position model. The record is from RNAcentral.